GAACACUUGCAAGUAAAGAGAUAUG
This 25-nucleotide non-coding RNA is filed under the name Cricetulus griseus (Chinese hamster). The record is from RNAcentral. Lineage: Eukaryota; Metazoa; Chordata; Mammalia; Rodentia; Cricetidae.